GUGCUCACUUCAGCAGCACAUAUACUAAAAUUGGAACAAUGCAGAGACUAGCAUGGCCCCUGCUCAAGGAUGACAUGUAAAUUCGUGAAGAGUUCCAGAUUUUU
This 104-nucleotide small nuclear RNA is filed under the name Jaculus jaculus (lesser Egyptian jerboa). The record is from RNAcentral. Lineage: Eukaryota; Metazoa; Chordata; Mammalia; Rodentia; Dipodidae.